Malaclemys terrapin pileata is the source of this 1782-nucleotide RNA transcript. It is a transcript of the gene named IDNK gluconokinase, with no coding region annotated. The transcript has 7 exons. Lineage: Eukaryota; Metazoa; Chordata; Testudines; Emydidae. The record is from RefSeq and is a predicted model, not a curated record.
GGGCACAGAGGAGGAGCAGGUGCGCGGCGGGAGAGGCUGCUGGGCUCGGCAUGGUGCUGCUGGUGGUGAUGGGAGUGAGCGGCUCGGGGAAAUCCACUGUUGGGUCACAUCUGGCGGCUAAACUGGGAUGGAAAUUCUAUGAUGCUGAUGACUAUCAUCCUACAGAGAACACAAAGAAAAUGGCUCAAGGAAUACCACUAAAUGACCAGGACAGGAUUCCAUGGCUUUGCAAAUUACAUGAUAUAUUAAUGAGAGAAGAGUCAGCUGGACAAAGUGUGAUUCUGGCCUGUUCAGCUCUGAAGAAAAUGUAUAGACGCAUAUUAGUAAGUGGAGGGGAUGCUGUGUAUUCUAAAAGUGAUCAGCUAGACUCUGCCACAGGGAAGGUCCUUUUUAUCCAUUUGGAUGGAUCUAUGGAACUCAUUGCCAGCCGCCUGGAGAAGAGGAGAGGACACUUUAUGGCACCCGAACUUCUACAGUCUCAGUUUGAUACACUGGAGCCUCCAUCAGCACCAGAAAACUUUAUUACUCUCAACUCCCUUGUAUGGUCUGAGGCCUUUUUUCUGCAGCCAUAUUAGGAGAGCAGCAGCCAUUAACCAGGAAGCAGAAACUCACAUCAACCUAUCAAAGCGAUGUAAUAUUGGGCUGGUACGAAGGUGUGCCUCCUAAUAAAAUCCACCAUCACCAAAUAAGCAAGGAAUCUCUUAAGAUGGUUAAAGAAAACUUUAUUUGAUGGCAUUCUGUCUGGCAAGGAAUCACUUAUCAACAGUUUGGGUGUGAAAUCUCUACUUCUUUAUUGUUUUGCCUUUAUGGUCCCUACCUCUCUCUUGUUUAUCUGUAUCGUCUCUGUCUGGUUCUUUGAUUGUUUCUGUCUGUUGCAUAACUAAUUUUAUAAGAUUUAAAUCAACUAAGGUGGUGGGGUAUGAUUGGGUAAAGAAUUGUUUUACAAUAUGUUAGGACUGGUUAGAGAAUUGUUUAUUAAAAUUUUAGCAAAAUGAUUGGUUAAGGUACAGCUAAUCAGGACUCAAGUUUCACUAUAUAAACUGGGGUCCAAAAGGAAGUUCCUUGGAACCAACUGCAGGACACAGCCCCAAGAUCAGAGCUGCCAGACCUCAACACCCAGCCAAUCACACCGGGCAGAAGCUGGAGUCCCAGAUGACCUGAUCCUGACUGGUCACCAGGAAAAGUUCAUCUGCCUUAUUGGGAGUGAAAAUGAAACGAGAUAGAGGGCCUGAAUCACCAGUGCUAAGUCUGGGGCGGGUAGCAGGAGAAAAACCACUUUUCAACUGCAGAACAGGAGCCAGUCUGUUCUUGGGAAAUGUAUGCUCUGGAAGAGAAGGUAAGAUAGAGCUAUUAGGCCCAGUGAUUCGAUUUGGUCAGAGAAGUAGGUGGGUAGGUAGCUUGUAGGUGGUGUAGCAAUUUUGUCACUGUUGUUCACAAUCUGGUUGACACAAGGGUCCCAAUUUCUGCAGUGCACUCCUUGGACCAAUCCAGAUACACUGUAGAGCAUGCACAGCUCACAGGCAGCUCUAUAAUUUUCACAUUACCAGUAAUGCUGGAAUGAAACACCAGCUGCACCUUGCUAUUUGUUCAUGUGCUAUAUAUGAAGAAGCAGCAUACGUGGAAUACUCCUAUGCAAGAUUUUCCACAGAGGACAAUUUCAAGGAAAUAAGAUUCCUACGACAGAAUGCUGAAAUUAAACCCUUUUCUCUAAAUGUCUGGCACAUGGGCUGUAACAACUAAGGGAAGGGCAGUGUUCUUAACCCACAAAGUUAGCAGACAAAG